GACAAAUCUCCUGGUGGCUAGCCUGAUGAUGGAGGUGGAGGCCUUGGAGAAGGCUGACUGCUGAGUUGGUGUCACUACAUCUGGGAGUUGUGUCUUCUGAAUCCACAAGGUCCAGACAGAGGCCAUUGCUGCUUGUUUUUGACCCAGAAAAAUGCCUGAUCCAUAGUGGACACUCGGAAAAUGUUGGCUAAACAAAUGGAAAGAAAUCAAAGAAGGCUUCCUGGAGCAGGUGGAGGAUGAGAGAAACAAAGAAGGAGACACUGCAGCACUGCUCCACUGCCUAUGAGGUCUCCCCACUGCAGGCUCUUUCAUGUGCUUGUCAACUGCUAUUUGAAGACACAGCCCUGCAUUCUUCUGGGUGACAUGCUGUGACUUGCUAGGUCACCAGCCCUGAGAAUAUCAGCUUCUGUCCAAAUCAUGUGUUGCACCUGAAGAAGCACUGGUUAUCACCUGCUGUAAAGUGUAAUACAUUUUCUUCUUUUGUAUUAGUUCAGGUUUCUCCAGAGGAAAAGGAGAGAGAGAGAGAGAGAGAGAGAGAGAGAGAGAGAGAGAGGGAAAGGAAACACACUGGGGUCUGGGAGAGGCUGUAGGUAUAAGAUGUGCUUUUCUAGUUCUCAUUCUUUCUGGGUUAGGAAAAUAUACUGUUCCACAGAAUGCAGGUGGCAUGGUGAGAGCUGGACUGGAUCUGUGACCAGGAAGGCUGGACCCUUGGGGAUGGGACGGGAGACAGUCUGAUUCCCCAGUGAUACCUGGGGAAGGCCUAGUGCAUAUACUGUCCUGAUGUUAGGCCUGAUUCUGUACACUUUGCACAGCAGCAUUCAUUAUUUAUUUAUUUUUAAAUAACAAUUGGCCUUGUCACUACUCUGUAUGCAGGGCCAAUAGAAUGUGGCUUUAGGUAGGCACCAGUAUCUGACUCAUCCACGACAGGUGGGGGCAGGUCAAGAAGUGGCCAUUUUUGGCUAUAGCAGUACCUUCUAGAUUGCUCACCAAGGUGCCUUUUACCUCAGGGUGCUCAGGCCUGGAUUCCUGAGCAAUUCUGUAAGAAGCACAGAAGUUAACAUGACAAGUUGCUAAGUAGAUCUCUUUUCAAAGAUGUCCUCUCCCUCUGAGGUAAUGAUAGAAGUGGGUGUUGCUAUGGUGACCAGUCUUCUGUUUAGAAGCACACAGAACAAAAGUUGAGAUGUCUUGUCUACCAUUUGUGGUCAUGGCUAUCCUUCCAGUUUCUUGAUCCCAAAGCUGACUUUUAUUUUGUGCCUUAAGUCCCUGAAUAAGAUGGGGACAUGACUGACUACAUUUAGAAGAAAAGAACAAAAUCCAUGUCUGGCAUGUGGCUGAAGGGCUUUUUCAAGAACUGAAGGAAAAUUAUUCCACAAGGUGUUAAGAACAUGGAAGAGACACAUGAUUCCUGAAUCCUCUGGGAACAGGUCCUGGACCUGUAUAUUUCUCUCCAGCAAACAGCACUGACACUUUUUCAAGACUAGGAGCAGAAUCUAUAGUUAACUUCAUUUUGGAACCUGUGAAAUAGUUCACUUGGAUAAUGUGUUGCUUUGCCAUGUGUACAACCCAGGUAUGAGCCUGAACUCUACCACAACGAAGGAAGGCUCAGUGUUGUGGUCUCUCAUUCU
Long non-coding RNA from Erinaceus europaeus (western European hedgehog), 1625 nucleotides. RefSeq lists it as uncharacterized. The transcript has 4 exons. Lineage: Eukaryota; Metazoa; Chordata; Mammalia; Eulipotyphla; Erinaceidae. The record is from RefSeq and is a predicted model, not a curated record.